UACGAAGGGGGCUAGCGUUGUUCGGAAUUACUGGGCGUAAAGGGCGCGUAGGCGGCGUGUCAAGUCAGGCGUGAAAGCCCUGGGCUCAACCCAGGAAGUGCACUCGAAACUGGCGGGCUUGAAUAUGGAAGAGGGUCGCGGAAUUCCCGGUGUAGAGGUGAAAUUCGUAGAUAUCGGGAGGAACACCAGUGGCGAAGGCGGCCAGCUGGGCCGUCCCUGACGCUGAGGCGCGAAGGCGUGGGGAGCGAACGGG
This 253-nucleotide ribosomal RNA is filed under the name uncultured bacterium. RNAcentral describes it as "partial 16S ribosomal RNA". It matches the Rfam family "Bacterial small subunit ribosomal RNA", at positions 524 to 776 of the family's 1533-position model. The record is from RNAcentral.